Molecule: ribosomal RNA, 428 nt
Filed under: uncultured bacterium
Lineage: Bacteria
Description: bacterial SSU rRNA
Rfam family: Bacterial small subunit ribosomal RNA
Source: RNAcentral
GACGAACGCUGGCGGCGUGCUUAACACAUGCAAGUCUACGAGAACGAGAUAGCAAUAUUUUUAGUAAAGUGGCGCACGGGUGCGUAACACGUAAGCAAUCUACCUUUGGGUCUGGAAUAACUUCGAGAAAUCGAGGCUAAUACCAGAUAAUGCAGCGGCACCGCAUGGUGAUGUUGUUAAAGUUUGAGUAAUGCCUAUAGAUGAGCUUGCGUCUGAUUAGCUAGUUGGUAGGGUAAAGGCCUACCAAGGCUACGAUCAGUAGCUGGUCUGAGAGGAUGAUCAGCCACACUGGAACUGAGACACGGUCCAGACUCCUACGGGAGGCAGCAGUGAGGAAUAUUGGGCAAUGCCCGAAAGGGUGACCCAGCAACGCCGCGUGGAGGAUGAAGGCCGUAAGGUUGUAAACUCCUGUUAGAGGGGAAGAACAG